Molecule: long non-coding RNA, 424 nt
Organism: Oncorhynchus tshawytscha (Chinook salmon)
Lineage: Eukaryota; Metazoa; Chordata; Actinopteri; Salmoniformes; Salmonidae
Source: Ensembl
GGGGAAGUCUAGAGGUGGAAACAGGGAACAGGGGAAGUCUAGAGGUGGAAACAGGGAACAGGGGAAGUCUAGAGGUGGAAACAGGGAACAGGGGAAGUCUAGAGAUGGAUACAGGACACAGGGGAAGUCUAGAGGUGGAUACAGGGAACAGGGGAAGUCUAGAGGUGGAAACAGGGAACAGGGGAAGUCUAGAGGUGGACACAGGGAACAGGGGAAGUCUAGAGGUGGAUACAGGGAACAGGGGAAGUCUAGAGGUGGACACAGGACACAGGGGAAGUCUAGAGGUGGACACAGGGGAAGUCUAGAGGUGGAAACAGGACACAGGGGAAGUCUAGAGGUGGACACAGGGAACAGGGGAAGUCUAGAGGUGGAUACAGGGAACAGGGGAAGUCUAGAGGUGGACACAGGACACAGGGGAAGUCUA